GCAGUGAGGUACUCGAGAAUGGCGGCACUGUACACAGCUGCAGUGGCUCCAACUCUGCCGUGGCUGGUGGUUCUGGACUUGAGAUGUCUGUGGAUACGACCCACUGGGAACUGCAGGAACAAAAGAGUGUUAAGGGCCCUUGGUGCUUGCUGGCGGUAGCACAGUUGCAUUAUAAGCUUGACUGAAUGAAGACUAGAGGAGAGGAGGAAAACGACAACCAACCUGCAGCCCAGCUCGCUGUGAGCGCGAAAUAGCCUUCGUCUUGGUCUUUCCGGAGUCUUUGCCCGCCUUGCCACCAGCCUGAACAACAAGCAUCCGUUGAUCUUUCCCAGCCGGGGCCAAGACGAGGCAGAGUCCUGAAAUGUUUCCAGAAGUGUGCAGGGAAUGUUGGCCAUUACCGGACACUUCAAUAAUACAGUCUUUUGAGUGAAGCAGGAAGCAGAAGUCAAAUUGGCCUGAGUGGGGAUCUCAUAGGUUGCCUGCACAUCCAGUGUAUUUCGGCAAUAAUCCAACAAAAUAUGAGUGGAAAUCCCAUGCACACAUGGGAGGAUGCAAAAGACCGAGAGGGAGAGCCUAGAGGAAGAAGGGACGGGCAGAGAGCGUGAGAAAGUAUGAUGUCACAACUCUCUGCAAGGACCCGAGGGCGACAUAGCAUUUGGUGAUAAAACAUUGCAGCACUCUUCUACCACACAGUAGACAAAUAAUUGGAAUUGUCUUACUAAAAUACUCUUCUAUACACAUAUUUGGCACUGACUUAGGCCACUCUAGGUAACCAUUGUUUUGCUGCAUAUGCUGACAGUUGCACUACUUUUUCCAUUUACAUGCAUCUUGCCUUGAUUAAUAAUCCUAAACAGUAUCAAUGAAGAGACAUGUGGCACAGAGCUAUUCCAUAAUCAACACUUUUAUUGCUUGUAGUAAGAAAAAAAUGCAAUAAAGUAUCAAUUGAG
Long non-coding RNA from Nerophis ophidion (straightnose pipefish), 947 nucleotides. RefSeq lists it as uncharacterized. Lineage: Eukaryota; Metazoa; Chordata; Actinopteri; Syngnathiformes; Syngnathidae. The record is from RefSeq and is a predicted model, not a curated record. The transcript has 2 exons.